UUCAUCAUCAACACACCAUUUGUUACUUCUUGGAGAGUGGUGUCUCCUAGAUUGGCUAGGUGUCACUUGGGAGCCUCCGUCAAGAUUGUGGAGUUGAACCAAGGAGUUUGUAAGGGCAAGGAGAUCGCCUACUUCAUGAAGAUCUACCCGAGUGAGAUCAUGAAGAAAUGCACACAUUUUGAAUUGCUGAAUGACUACGUUAAGCGGAUUCAAUUCAAUGGGGCCCCAACCUGGGAGCUCAAUCUGCCGUCAGCACCAACGAAUUUGGUCUCUGAAAGUGCUGCUCUGACAGUUGGGGAUGCAGAUCUGAAGGGGGGAUUAAAGAAGAUGAACAAGAACUUGAAGCAGAUGAUUCAAUUGAACAAGCAGGCGAAUCUGAUAGCUUUAGGAAUUUAUCCCUUUUAUUUUUGUGUAGUUGCU
RNAcentral lists this ribosomal RNA (420 nucleotides) under Triticum aestivum (bread wheat). RNAcentral describes it as "partial small subunit ribosomal RNA". Lineage: Eukaryota; Viridiplantae; Streptophyta; Magnoliopsida; Poales; Poaceae. The record is from RNAcentral.